Molecule: long non-coding RNA, 398 nt
Filed under: Brassica napus (rape)
Lineage: Eukaryota; Viridiplantae; Streptophyta; Magnoliopsida; Brassicales; Brassicaceae
Description: long non-coding RNA (BNAP_LNC013486)
Source: RNAcentral
GGUUCUUGACACGUUUAUAUUUGUAUUGGGUGACAUCAAUUGUUGCGCACGCAACGCAGUUACAAUUGAAUUUUCUUUUUGUCAUUUGUUUUCAACAUGUAACUAAUCAACUUGUAAGACAAACGAGGGCCAAAACAGACAAAACAAUCCCCUGAAAUUAAGGCAAAGAAAACGAGGAAAGUAUCCAUCUUCAUAAAUAAACACUCGUCCAAUUAAUAGGAUGAAGAACACCGAGUACCUUUUCGAGCAUUAACGUCAUUGCAAUCCGUUACUUGCCAUUCGUCUGAAUUUGUCUUUUUAUUCUAUUGUGUCAAGAAAAUUUUCACCGAAACUGUUUUGUAUACACCUUGCACUAAUUUGUGUGUUGUAUACAAAACUCUUAACAAUGGGUGUGAUCU